CUAGCACACCGGAGUACACGAUCAGAAGUGAAGACGACAUGGACGCUUACCUUAGUCGUCUCAUGAAUGAUAAUGUCAACCCUGACAGCCUCUUUGACGAUGAGUAUUACCUGUUUGCUGGUGAAGGCUCAGAUGCUGAUGACAUGGAGCACGACGAAUUGGAAGACUCAUG
This is a long non-coding RNA of Triticum aestivum (bread wheat), 172 nucleotides long. RefSeq lists it as uncharacterized. The transcript has 3 exons. NCBI's taxonomy places the organism in Eukaryota, Viridiplantae, Streptophyta, Magnoliopsida, Poales, Poaceae. The record is from RefSeq and is a predicted model, not a curated record.